RNAcentral lists this ribosomal RNA (734 nucleotides) under Arthrobacter sp. RNAcentral describes it as "bacterial SSU rRNA". It matches the Rfam family "Bacterial small subunit ribosomal RNA", at positions 59 to 805 of the family's 1533-position model. Lineage: Bacteria; Bacillati; Actinomycetota; Actinomycetes; Micrococcales; Micrococcaceae. The record is from RNAcentral.
AAGUCGAACGAUGAUCCGGUGCUUGCACCGGGGAUUAGUGGCGAACGGGUGAGUAACACGUGAGUAACCUGCCCUUGACUCUGGGAUAAGCCUGGGAAACUGGGUCUAAUACUGGAUACGACCUUCCCACGCAUGUGGUGUUGGUGGAAAGCUUUUGUGGUUUUGGAUGGACUCGCGGCCUAUCAGCUUGUUGGUGGGGUAAUGGCCUACCAAGGCGACGACGGGUAGCCGGCCUGAGAGGGUGGACGGCCACACUGGGACUGAGACACGGCCCAGACUCCUACGGGAGGCAGCAGUGGGGAAUAUUGCACAAUGGGCGCAAGCCUGAUGCAGCGACGCCGCGUGAGGGAUGAAGGCCUUCGGGUUGUAAACCUCUUUCAGUAGGGAAGAAGCGAAAGUGACGGUACCUGCAGAAGAAGCGCCGGCUAACUACGUGCCAGCAGCCGCGGUAAUACGUAGGGCGCAAGCGUUAUCCGGAAUUAUUGGGCGUAAAGAGCUCGUAGGCGGUUUGUCGCGUCUGCCGUGAAAGUCCGGGGCUUAACUCCGGAUCUGCGGUGGGUACGGGCAGACUUGAGUGAUGUAGGGGAGACUGGAAUUCCUGGUGUAGCGGUGAAAUGCGCAGAUAUCAGGAGGAACACCGAUGGCGAAGGCAGGUCUCUGGGCAUUAACUGACGCUGAGGAGCGAAAGCAUGGGGAGCGAACAGGAUUAGAUACCCUGGUAGUCCAUGCCGUAA